RNAcentral lists this ribosomal RNA (414 nucleotides) under Adenomera heyeri group sp. ABGD cluster 15. RNAcentral's name for it is "partial large subunit ribosomal RNA". It matches the Rfam family "Bacterial large subunit ribosomal RNA", at positions 1835 to 2407 of the family's 2925-position model. The record is from RNAcentral. Lineage: Eukaryota; Metazoa; Chordata; Amphibia; Anura; Leptodactylidae.
CUUGUCCUACAUAAGAGGUCCAGCCUGCCCAGUGACAUUGUUCAACGGCCGCGGUAUCCUAACCGUGCGAAGGUAGCGUAAUCACUUGUUCUUUAAAUGAGGACUAGUAUGAAAGGCACCACGAGAGUCAUGCUGUCUCCUCUUUCUAAUCAGUAAAACUAAUCUCCCCGUGAAGAAGCGAGGAUAAAAAUAUAAGACGAGAAGACCCUAUGGAGCUUUAAACAAAUAACACUUGCCUAUUUCCAUUAAAUUUCAGAAAAACCAUUUACUCUGGCAUUAUAAUUAUAAGUUUUCGGUUGGGGUGACCACGGAAUAAAAAAUAACCUCCGCAAUGAAAUUACUCCAAAGUUAAGGACUACAAUCCUAUACAUCAACAAAUUGACAUCAAUUGACCCAACAUGUUGAUCAAUGAAC